Molecule: ribosomal RNA, 254 nt
Filed under: uncultured bacterium
Lineage: Bacteria
Description: partial 16S ribosomal RNA
Rfam family: Bacterial small subunit ribosomal RNA
Source: RNAcentral
UACAGAGGUGGCGAGCGUUGUUCGGAUUUACUGGGCGUAAAGGGUGCGUAGGUGGUUUGGUGUGUCGGAUGUGAAAUACCACAGCUUAACUGUGUGAAUGGCAUUCGAAACUACCAAGCUAGAGUUCAGGAUGGGAGAGCGGAAUUCUUGGUGUAGCGGUGAAAUGCGUUGAUAUCAAGAAGAACACCGGUGGCGAAGGCGACUCUCUGGAAUGUAACUGACACUGAGGCACGAAAGCUGGGGGAGCAAACAGG